AUAAUCCACUAGCUAUGACUCAAGACAGCAGGCGCACUUGUGCUUAAUUUCCUGCCGAGGUCUCGCGAAGGAUAAUUCUGUAUAUAUGACAGUUAUUAUGGCUUCCGGACUUGCUUGGGUUCGGAGGCCAUUUUUAUGGCGGC
Cloacibacillus evryensis DSM 19522 is the source of this 143-nucleotide regulatory RNA element. It matches the Rfam family "Ribosomal protein L10 leader". Rfam says of the family: This family is a putative r-protein leader autoregulatory structure found in B. subtilis and other low-GC Gram-positive bacteria. It is located in the 5' untranslated regions of mRNAs encoding ribosomal proteins L10 and L12 (rplJ-rplL). A Rho-independent transcription terminator structure that is probably involved in regulation is included at the 3' end. The record is from Rfam. Lineage: Bacteria; Thermotogati; Synergistota; Synergistia; Synergistales; Synergistaceae.